AUUGAACGCUGGCGGCAUGCCUUACACAUGCAAGUCGAACGGCAGCACGGGAGCAAUCCUGGUGGCGAGUGGCGAACGGGUGAGUAAAGUAUCGGAACGUGCCCAGUCGUGGGGGAUAACGUAGCGAAAGUUACGCUAAUACCGCAUACGAUCUAUGGAUGAAAGCGGGGGAUCGCAAGACCUCGCGCGAUUGGAGCGGCCGAUAUCAGAUUAGGUAGUUGGUGGGGCAAAGGCUCACCAAGCCGACGAUCUGUAGCUGGUCUGAGAGGACGACCAGCCACACUGGGACUGAGACACGGCCCAGACUCCUACGGGAGGCAGCAGUGGGGAAUGUUGGACAAUGGGCGCAAGCCUGAUCCAGCCAUGCCGCGUGCAGGAUGAAGGCCUUCGGGUUGUAAACUGCUUUUGUACGGAACGAAAAGGUUUGGCUUAAUACGUUGAACUCAUGACGGUACCGUAAGAAUAAGCACCGGCUAACUACGUGCCAGCCGCCGCGGUAA
Molecule: ribosomal RNA, 500 nt
Filed under: uncultured bacterium
Lineage: Bacteria
Description: partial 16S ribosomal RNA
Rfam family: Bacterial small subunit ribosomal RNA
Source: RNAcentral